AUGGCGUGCUCCAGCCUGUCCCACGCUGUGGCUCUCGUCGCCAAGGUGCCGGCGCCGUCCUCCUCUCGGCGCCGGUCGUACUCGAUGGUCCGCCUCCCGCCCCUCCGUACUGCUCGUUCCCUGACGAUGCGCUGCGCCGGUGGGUACGGUAACACCGCCGUACCUCCCACGGCGCCGGACGAGUGCUUCCGCUUCACGCGGGAUCCAGGUGCCGACAUGGAGGCGACGGUGGCGCUGCUGGACGCGGUGGCCGGUGCGUUCCGGCCCCUCCUGGACAACCUGAAGCAGCUGCGCUCCCUCCGGACCGUCUUCGACGUGGAGGACUACCACGUCGGCAUGCCUUUCGGAGCCUUCCUGGCGUGCUUGGGGCUGUGGCAGAUGUGGAAGAUGGAUCCCUCGACGUGCCUCGACUUCAUGCUCGCCUACGCCUUCUACAAGCUCAGCGUCCUCGCGGCGGAUGUCCGGAAACAGGGCUUUUGCAACGACCUAAUCACCCGGGUCCAGCUCGUCAUCGGCGUCACAAUGGCCAUCAAGGAUAUCCACAAAAGAAUUGUCCCCCUUGAUUACAUCAGGGUUCCUGUUUUCUUCCUUUAUACCGUGUCGGUACUUUCGGACUUGAGCGGCGUGAAGAAGUUCCUGAAUCCUCUCUUCAAUUUCUUGUUGGCGCUAUCCAAGACCAAACACGGGAAAAUCGAGUUGAUGCGCAUGCUGGUGUUUCACGACUUCAGCUACUUCACACGAUAUUUCGGUGUGCCAAAGAUGGAGGGCGCAUCAAAUGCCCAGCAGAAGGAGUUGGAGCAAGCACAAACUAGGUUCCUUCGUCUGAUUGAUGAGGCUGAUCCCAAGAUGAAGGCCAAAAUGGAUGGAGCUAUGCCAAGCAUUGGCUCGGAUGCCUCGUCCGAAUGGACGGAGAGUGUACCGUAUAAUCAAAAUAAAUCAUGA
Molecule: ribosomal RNA, 942 nt
Filed under: Triticum aestivum (bread wheat)
Lineage: Eukaryota; Viridiplantae; Streptophyta; Magnoliopsida; Poales; Poaceae
Description: partial small subunit ribosomal RNA
Source: RNAcentral